GUCUCUGGAUUUUAUCUCAUCUUGGAAGCCGAGCAGGGUCAGGCCUGAUUAGUACUUAGUUGGGAGACCACCUGGGAAUAUGAGCUGUUGUAGGCU
This 96-nucleotide ribosomal RNA is filed under the name Saimiri boliviensis boliviensis (Bolivian squirrel monkey). The record is from RNAcentral. Lineage: Eukaryota; Metazoa; Chordata; Mammalia; Primates; Cebidae.